CCCGGGCCUUGUACACACCGCCCGUCACACCACGAAAGCUGCUUGAACCAGAAGUCGGUGACCCAACCCGCAAGGGAGGGAGCCGCCCAAGGUUUUGGUAGUGAUUGGGGUG
RNAcentral lists this ribosomal RNA (112 nucleotides) under uncultured bacterium. Its description in RNAcentral is "partial 16S ribosomal RNA". It matches the Rfam family "Bacterial small subunit ribosomal RNA", at positions 1373 to 1482 of the family's 1533-position model. The record is from RNAcentral.